Molecule: ribosomal RNA, 468 nt
Filed under: uncultured bacterium
Lineage: Bacteria
Description: partial 16S ribosomal RNA
Rfam family: Bacterial small subunit ribosomal RNA
Source: RNAcentral
GACGAACGCUGGCGGCGUGCUUAACACAUGCAAGUCGAACGGAAAGGCCCUGCUUUUGUGGGGUGCUCGAGUGGCGAACGGGUGAGUAACACGUGAGUAACCUGCCCUUGACUUUGGGAUAACUUCAGGAAACUGGGGCUAAUACCGGAUAGGAGCUCCUGCUGCAUGGUGGGGGUGGGAAAGUUUCGGCGGUUGGGGAUGGACUCGCGGCUUAUCAGCUUGUUGGUGGGGUAGUGGCUUACCAAGGCUUUGACGGGUAGCCGGCCUGAGAGGGUGACCGGCCACAUUGGGACUGAAAUACAGCCCAAACUCCUACGGGAGGCAGCAGUGGGGAAUAUUGCACAAUGGGCGGAAGCCUGAUGCAGCAACGCCGCGUGCGGGAUGACGGCCUUCGGGUUGUAAACCGCGUUCGCCUGUGACGAAGCGUGCGUGACGGUAAUGGGUAAAGAAGCACCGGCUAACUACGUG